AGGAUGGAGAGGACCAGCAGUGAUGGGAUGGGUUGUGGGACGUGGAUUUUGCUCCAUCAGUUGGAAGCUCCUCCAGGGAAGCUAGAAGUGGGAGAGGGGGUUGCUAAUGCAGAGUCGGUCAGUGUUUGUGUGUGUAUGUGCCCUGCAGGUAGGCAUGGAGGGCUGUGCACUGCAGCGUCCUGGCCUGGAGGACCUGGAGAAGCUGUAAAGUAGGAAAGCAGCAGGGAGCAUGACUGAAUGAAACCAAAGGCCUCAGCUCUCCUUUUUAUGCUUGAACAUGACAGAUAAGGCCCACAGGCAGCUGUUGGCUUAGAAACAGCAUUUAAAGGCCUGUUUUUUGGGAAUUAGCUUAUA
This is a long non-coding RNA of Gavialis gangeticus (Gharial), 354 nucleotides long. RefSeq lists it as uncharacterized. The record is from RefSeq and is a predicted model, not a curated record. The transcript has 3 exons. Lineage: Eukaryota; Metazoa; Chordata; Crocodylia; Gavialidae.